ACGCUCGACACCUAGGCAGCAGUGGGGAAUAUUGCACAAUGGGGGAAACCCUGAUGCAGCGACGCCGCGUGGAGGAAGAAGGUCUUCGGAUUGUAAACUCCUGUUGUUGGGGAAAAAGAGGAUGGUACCCAACAAGGAAGUGACGGCUAACUACGUGCAAGCAGCCGCGGUAAUCUGAGCGGGCUGGCAAGGC
Molecule: ribosomal RNA, 193 nt
Filed under: uncultured bacterium
Lineage: Bacteria
Description: partial 16S ribosomal RNA
Rfam family: Bacterial small subunit ribosomal RNA
Source: RNAcentral